RNAcentral lists this ribosomal RNA (480 nucleotides) under uncultured bacterium. Its description in RNAcentral is "bacterial SSU rRNA". It matches the Rfam family "Bacterial small subunit ribosomal RNA", at positions 28 to 507 of the family's 1533-position model. The record is from RNAcentral.
GAUGAACGCUGGCGGCGUGCUUAACACAUGCAAGUCGAACGAAGCACUUAUGACAGAUUCUUCGGAUGAUGGAUUAAUUGACUGAGUGGCGGACGGGUGAGUAACGCGUGGGUAACCUGCCUCAUACAGGGGGAUAACAGUUAGAAAUGACUGCUAAUACCGCAUAAGCGCACGGUAUCGCAUGAUACAGUGUGAAAAACUCCGGUGGUAUGAGAUGGACCCGCGUCUGAUUAGCUAGUUGGUGAGGUAACGGCUCACCAAGGCGACGAUCAGUAGCCGGCCUGAGAGGGUGAACGGCCACAUUGGGACUGAGACACGGCCCAAAACUCCUACGGGAGGCAGCAGUGGGAAUAUUGCACAAUGGGGGAAACCCUGAUGCAGCGACGCCGCGUGAGGCGAUGAAGUAUUUUGGUAUGUAAAGCUCUAUCAGCAGGGAGAAAAUGACGGUAACCUGACUAAGAAGCACCGGCUAAAUACGUG